AUUGAACGCUGGCGGCAUGCUUUACACAUGCAAGUCGAACGGCAGCGCGGGCUUCGGCCUGGCGGCGAGUGGCGAACGGGUGAGUAAUAUAUCGGAACGUACCCAAGAGUGGGGAUAACGUAGCGAAAGUUACGCUAAUACCGCAUACGAUCUAAGGAUGAAAGCAGGGGAUCGCAAGACCUUGUGCUCCUGGAGCGGCCGAUAUCUGAUUAGCUAGUUGGUGGGGUAAAGGCCCACCAAGGCAACGAUCAGUAGCUGGUCUGAGAGGACGACCAGCCACACUGGAACUGAGACACGGUCCAGACUCCUACGGGAGGCAGCAGUGGGGAAUUUUGGACAAUGGGGGCAACCCUGAUCCAGCAAUGCCGCGUGAGUGAA
RNAcentral lists this ribosomal RNA (378 nucleotides) under uncultured bacterium. Its description in RNAcentral is "bacterial SSU rRNA". It matches the Rfam family "Bacterial small subunit ribosomal RNA", at positions 30 to 409 of the family's 1533-position model. The record is from RNAcentral.